UACGAAGGGGGCUAGCGUUGCUCGGAAUCACUGGGCGUAAAGCGCACGUAGGCGGAUUGCUAAGUCAGGGGUGAAAUCCUGGAGCUCAACUCCAGAACUGCCCUUGAUACUGGCGGUCUCGAGUCCGGGAGAGGUGAGUGGAACUGCGAGUGUAGAGGUGAAAUUCGUAGAUAUUCGCAAGAACACCAGUGGCGAAGGCGGCCUUCUGGACCAUUCUUGACGCUGAGACGCGAAAGCGUGGGGAGCAAACAGG
This 253-nucleotide ribosomal RNA is filed under the name uncultured bacterium. RNAcentral's name for it is "partial 16S ribosomal RNA". It matches the Rfam family "Bacterial small subunit ribosomal RNA", at positions 524 to 776 of the family's 1533-position model. The record is from RNAcentral.